Oreochromis aureus is the source of this 2997-nucleotide long non-coding RNA. RefSeq lists it as uncharacterized. NCBI's taxonomy places the organism in Eukaryota, Metazoa, Chordata, Actinopteri, Cichliformes, Cichlidae. The transcript has 3 exons. The record is from RefSeq and is a predicted model, not a curated record.
AGCGGGAUUAGAAAACAGAUCAGUCACACAGUUGUUUAUUCUUCAAGCCCAUGUCAUUAUCUACACAAAAGAGCUAGUGAACAAGCACGGAGUAGGAGGUCAAAAACGAGACACGGCGAGAGAGUGGGCUGGUGAAAGAGAAAAUUCAGAACGCUGUGUCAUAUGUAUCGUAUGACUUCUAAAGCAAGACCGUGCAAAGGAGCUGGGAAAGGGAGGCGUGACAAGAAGGGAGUGUUGAUCUCAGCAAAUCAGACCUCUCACUUGUUCAGUCUGGUUUGUACUGCCCAGACCUGGAUGUUCCCUGCAGAUGUCCUGUGGGAAGAUUGGAUUCUGCCUAUGUUUUUAGUCUACAGGUUGGCUGCCCUUCUAGGACCUCGUAUCUCAUCUAGCUCUCUAACUUGAACCCCAAUGUGACAUUCUGACCAAUGGUUAGAGAGACUCUGUCCCCUAAAUGGAAUGCUGCAGAGGAAAAUCAUCUAUUUAUACUUGUUCUUUUUAAAAAUAUAAGACACAACAGACCUGUUAAAGCUCUGAUUUUUUUUAGAUGUACAUAAGAAAGAAAUUUGCUUAUAACGGUUACAUUUUAAUAAGCUGUACAAGGUCAGAAAUAUUCUAUGACAUCAACCUCCAGUCAGGACAUUUUAACUGGGUGAUCUAAAUGACUUUGUAUAACCUUAUGUGUCUGUAAAUGAAUCAACUUGACUUAUUCAUUUACAGACAUAGUCUUGUUUAUGUAUGAGAAGAAUGUUCCUUCAGAUUUUUCCUGCACAUGAUGUCUGGCACAGGAAAAAUGAUACGUGAGCUCGACUUGAUCUGCUGUUUUCUGUGCCUUAUUCUGAUACGUGUGAGGUAUGAUCCCUGGGGCUGACCUUCAGUGCAGCCAUCUGUAAGGUAAAGCAGUGGUUCUCAAACUUUUCACAGCGACAGUUCCCGACUCACCGAUGACAUCUCCCACACCUCCACCGAUUCUCCCGGGGGCCUUCGACUCAUCGAUGGUGGCUGGGAUCACGGCACAGCGGCACCAUGGGAAAAGGGCUGUGUUUUUACCAUCAGUGUGACGGUGCCGUGCUGCCUUUGCAGUUUUAAGGCCCAGGAAAUUUCCCAGAAUUUCCCAGAGGAACCCACCUGAGGGAUUAAUAAAGUUUUAUCUUAUCUUAAAACGAGCCCGCCAGUGCUCUGUAGCGGCGAUAAGGAAAGGCUGCUCUUCAUAGAGGACUCACCCUCGGGGAGACGUUUUCUGGUUGACUCCGGUUCCCAGAAGAGCCUCGGGAACUCUUGUGUCGUCUUUGCAUACCUCCAUAAUAGUAUAUUAUUUAAUCUUUAAAAAAAAAUUGGAGAUUUCCUGCGUACUACCAGAGAGAGCCCAAGUACUACUAGUGAUACCCGUACCACAGUUUGAGAACCACUGCAGUAGAGGAGCACUGCUGCAGUGGCAAAAACAGCUGCACUGUCCUCUGUGGGAUAUUGAUUGAUCUCAGCUCAACGUGGGUCAUUUAUUUAAAUACUCAUGGUGAAACAAACUUAAGUGGGCACAAUGUGGUUAUGCUAUGUACGCACAUGGCCUAUGUAGUAUAAUUUGUUCUUGAACAUUAGCAUAAAAGGAAUGCUUGUGUGGGUGCGAACAAACAAUAUGACCUUCCUCAGGUAACUCAGUGCACCUAAAACCAACUGACAGACGCAGAGAGAGAGACAGGGCAUGCAGAUAGAUUAGAUUACCGAGCUGUGAAGAGAGACAGUGCCAGAAAGCCUGCUACUGUAUUCUUAUCAGACGAUAAAAAAACAUGCAAGUUUGAAGAAGCACAGGUUUUCCAAAGGUAUUUAUGUAAGUAAUGGUUAACAAGAACUCGCAUGAGCACAGUGUUGAAUUCUCCUUGUUGGCUGCCACAAUCUAUGGUUUAAAAAAUCAUCAAUUAACUCAGCAAAACCUGUCAGACUCAGCUAGAAUGCCUCACUUGCUAACAGCAAUUCAAAGUACGCUUAUUCUUUAAAACAAGUCUUAGCAUAAAGGCAGGCAAAGGGGGAAAAGAGCCAAGGGAAGAGGAGUGCAUGGUUAAACACUUAAAGCUAAAACACAUGGAGUAAGACAACAGCUUUCCAACACAUGGUGCAUUUAAGUACAGCCCAUGUGUGGAUGCACACACUGUGUGGGUAAUUAACUCAGAAUGUAGCUUUAUCUUAUAUAGAGGAACAACAAAAUAAAAGCACAGCUAUGUAAUGAAAUGCAGAUGUGAUGAAUGAGCACCUUGGCCAUUCAGCUUUGUAAAAAAAAAAGAAAUGUUUAAAGGAAAAGCUGGAGCAGCGUAUUUUGUUUCACAGGUGACAGAAAGUCAAACACAGUUUACUAUCCGAGGACAAACUUGACCUCUGAAACUACUAAUGUUAAAAGAAAGUGAUUGGACUUCUACUGUUAGAAAUAUUUGUCGUCCCUUUAACAGCAAAGAUAAGCAACUUUUUCAUCAAUACAUCUGUGAGGACCAAAGACCUUUUAAAUCACAAAAAUCCCUCAGAAAUUCUCGUUGGACUGUUCUCACAUUCAUUUUGCAGCAGUGACAACAAAUGUCUUCAGUGACCAGGUGUCCACAGAACCCUGGUCACGGUGAAAGUAGAAAAGCAGCAGAUUUUAAUCAAACACCAAACUCCACCCAUGAACCUAAACCUAAUUCUUUAUUGGUAAAUGUUAAGAGAUUUUUACAUUUACUUACUUUGAUAACUUUUAUUUUGCUUAAGUAUAAUUUCUUGUGAGAACAUGAUGUGCCUGUAACCUACAGAUUAAGGAACAGAAGCAUGCGUGAGGAAGUUACAAAGUCACACACUCUCAGGCAGAGACAGUUCCAACCUGAAGCUGAUAUGACAAAAGAUACUAGUUCCUCUUGUCUUAUGGAUAACGGCCACUCAUGCGAUAACCAUAUCUAGAGAUGUUUUUCUAUUACGUAUGCUCCACCUAGAGAUGCUGUGUAAUCUAUUCUCUGCUAUAAAAUAAAGAACGGACUGAGGCUC